CACACAUAGGAUGUACUCACUUAUAAGUGGAUUUUUGCCAUAUGGUACAGGAUAAGCAUACUCAGAGGCACAGACUCAAAAGAAGCAGUUGGGAGAACUGGCCCCUGUGGUCAUGAGAGCAAGAGAUUUGGUCCUGGCCCUUGGCAAGCUGCAGCACUCAGGAGACCAAGCAUCUCACCUGGGCAGCACAGUUGGCCUGGCCCUGAUCAGGAGGCAGCAGUAGCUGGAAGAGCUGGCUCUGGGGUGAUGAGAGCAGGAGAGCUAUCUCUGACCCCUCACUGGCUGUAGCACUCAGGAGAGCCAGCCCUGCACCUGGCCUGGGCAACACAGUGAAGCUCAUGCUGAUAGCGAAGGCAGAGGUGAGCCAGUCCUGAGGGUGUCAGAGCAGGAGAGCUGGCCCAGCCCCUCACAGGCUGCAGCACUUGGGAGUCUGGGCCCUGCACCUUGA
This is a long non-coding RNA of Psammomys obesus (fat sand rat), 448 nucleotides long. RefSeq lists it as uncharacterized. The record is from RefSeq and is a predicted model, not a curated record. The transcript has 3 exons. NCBI's taxonomy places the organism in Eukaryota, Metazoa, Chordata, Mammalia, Rodentia, Muridae.